Molecule: ribosomal RNA, 439 nt
Filed under: uncultured bacterium
Lineage: Bacteria
Description: partial 16S ribosomal RNA
Rfam family: Bacterial small subunit ribosomal RNA
Source: RNAcentral
CUACGGGUGGCUCCAGUAGGGAAUCUUAGACAAUGGGGGAAACCCUGAUCUAGCCAUGCCGCGUGAGUGAUGAAGGCCUUAGGGUUGUAAAGCUCUUUCGCUGGGGAAGAUAAUGACGGUACCCAGUAAAGAAACCCCGGCUAACUCCGUGCCAGCAGCCGCGGUAAUACGGAGGGGGUUAGCGUUGUUCGGAAUUACUGGGCGUAAAGCGCGCGUAGGCGGGCUAUUAAGUCAGGGGUGAAAUCCCGGGGCUCAACCCCGGAACUGCCUUUGAUACUGGUAGUCGUGAGUUCGAGAGAGGUGAGUGGAAUUCCGAGUGUAGAGGUGAAAUUCGUAGAUAUUCGGAGGGACAUCAGUGGCGAAGGCGACUCACUGGCUCGAUACUGACGCUGAGGUGCGAAAGUGUGGGGAGCAAACAGGAUUAGAUACCCGAGUAGUC